AAAUCUGUGUUAAAGACAUGAAGACCAGAACAAUGUGGGCCAGAGCUGUUUGGAGGGAAGGUGAUGCUGAAAUGGAGGACGUUAUACCAUCCUGUUGGAUGAAGAAUGGCUGUGUUUUAUGGCCUGAUCAAGGGGCAAAAAAAGCCAUCAAAACCUUCAAACAACCUGAUGAUGGAUGGAUGACAUUUCCUCUGUUAAAAGUAAAAUUUCAGUCGGAUAACCGAAAGGAUUGUGACGACUAUGAUUUUACAACCACUGCUGAAUUGAGUUGCCCAGAGGAAGAGAAGAUUUCUGAGAAGAGGCAGCCAAAAAAAAAGUGCUACCCUGACUAUGAAAUGGGUGACUUUCCUGAUGGUGAGGUGAAACAAUGUGAAGAAGCAGCUGUUGCUGAACCCCAAGCUUAUCAGCACACAAAUGAUUUUCCUCCUCUUCCCCAUGUGCCCGAAAAAGUUAAGAAGAAUGUAAAUUCUUUUUGGGAAAAAGGGGGUACUGUUGCCAUCCAUCCUACCCAAAGCAGUCCUUCUGGACCAUUCAUAUACAGCCCCAGCAAGACUCUCUCUCAUGGCAAAGGAAGCCCCAGUAAAAAGUCACUCUUACAUGGCAGAAGAAGCCCCAGCAAGACUCUCUCUCGCGGCAGGAGAAGCCCCAGCAAGACACUCUCACAUGGGAGAGGGAGCCCCAGUAAGAAGUCACUCUCACGCGGCAGAAAAAGCCCCAGCAAGACUCUCUCUCAUGGCAGAGGAAGCCCCAGUAAGAAGUCACUCUCACGCGGCAGAAGAAGCCCCAGCAAGACUCUCUCUCAUGGCAGAGGAAGCCCCAGUAAGAAGUCACUCUCACGCGGCAGAAGAAGCCCCAGCAAGACUCUCUCUCAUGGCAGAGGAAGCCCCAGUAAGAAGUCACUCUCACGCGGCAGAAGAAGCCCCAGCAAGACUCUCUCUCAUGGCAGAGGAAGCCCCAGUAAGAAGUCAGUCUCACGCGGCAGGAGAAGCCCCAGUCGGUCCUCCUCACACAGCAAGCAGCGAAGCCCCAGCCGGUCACUCUCAUCACAUGGCACGAGAAUCCCCAGCCCUUCCCCAUCACUCAUUAAGAAAAGAAGCCCCAAAAAGUCUCUCUCAACACAUGACUGUAAAAGCCACAGCAAAUCUCUCUCAUAUGCCAGAAGAAGCCCCAGUAAGUCUCUCUCAACGCAUCGCAGUAGAAGCCACAGCAAAUCUCUCUCAUAUGACAGAAGCCCCAGCAAGUCCCUCUCACAAAGCUGUAACUGGAGUCCACCUGAAUACCUGUCAGGUAGACAGUUGAGUUCCUCAGACAGUCCGUCAUGCAGCAUGUCUGCAUCUCGUGAUGAAUUCCAAAAUGACAGUAAGAGAAUUCCAGAGGAAAGUUCUUCAAAUGCUGAUUGAUAUAAGAGAUUCUGUAAAAAUCGCAAUCAGAACAAUGGAUGGGACUGCAUUUAAUCUGAAGCAAGCCAACAGUCUGAACGAGUUGCAAGAAUUGGAGUCUCGUUUGCUAGAUAAAAAUGAAAGAGCAGCCUUGGUGAGUUUUAUCUGAUCAAUGCAAUCAAUCCAAUUCUUAAGACAAAUUAUUAUUCCCAAAGAUUGAAGGGUUUGUUCAUCAGUAAAUCUGUUUAUAAUUUAAAGUGAUUGUCUUUUAAGAAGAUUGUGUCUUUUAUUUUAUUGAUAUAAUUUGUUUGCAAUAAUAAGGCUCACAUUUUUUGUUGUUGUAUAUUUUAAUCUUUGGUCAUCAAAUAAAAUCAAACCAAUAAUUUCUUUACCA
This is a long non-coding RNA of Cyprinus carpio (common carp), 1773 nucleotides long. Lineage: Eukaryota; Metazoa; Chordata; Actinopteri; Cypriniformes; Cyprinidae. The record is from Ensembl.